This 1979-nucleotide unclassified non-coding RNA is filed under the name Hevea brasiliensis (rubber tree). The record is from RNAcentral. Lineage: Eukaryota; Viridiplantae; Streptophyta; Magnoliopsida; Malpighiales; Euphorbiaceae.
AAAAAAAAAAAAAAAAAAACUUAAUCCAACAACACUAUAGCAGCCUAAGAAUUUACAAAUAUGGAGAGAGAAGAGGAGGGAGGAGGAGCAGGGGAAGCAGCUCAUCCCAAAAAAUUUCAACCUACAUCUCGGAGUGGAACUAAAUCUCAUUCUCAUUGAGUUAAGUGCUGCUAUUCUGCUCAGCCGUAAAAGUAAUGGGAAGGAAUUUUGUCAUUGUUCAGUAUCACAUGAAUGAUCUUGUAGAGGUUGCAUAAAAGUCAGUAAUGGCAACAUUGUGGAGCCCAAUCAUUGACGAUUAUGGCUUGAACAUAACUUUUGAAAGUGAAAAUCAAAGAAAUUCAGUAGUCAUCAGAUGAAGAAAAUAAUUAUUAGGAAAUAGGAUUUCUUUUAAAUGUGGCUGAAGAUAAGAGUUGAAUGGAAAAAGGAAACAAGAGAAGGAACAAAACCUACCCAGCAAUCUUAAUUGACUGGUCAUCAAAGUCAUACUGAGUUGGGUCUGGAAUCCACUAUUGCAAGAUGUCUUUGCAUUAUUUACAAGGAUACACACAUGCAAUAAGACCACAGAGUCACGCCCAAGCCCUUUGAUUAAUCAAAUUGGGUUUCAUUUUUGAAUCACAUAUCCACGUGUGAUUGAGGUUUAUGUUUCAAACUGAAAACCAAACCUGGACUAAAACCAAAGACUUUAGAUUCAACACAGCAUUUUUCUAGGGCGAUGGUGCCAUGUAAUUGAAGCCAUUGGAAGCCAAAGGAGGUCAAGAUAUAAGCAUUCCUUGAAUGCAAUUUCAUAAAAUGGGAACAAUAGCCAAAGGCAUGCCAAACUGCCAGGCAUGUUUGGCCAUCCAAAUAAGAACCUUUAAAUAUUUGUAAAUAUUAAAAGAAAUAAAUAGAAAGCACCUCUGAUAAACCUUACAUAACAGACAGUUUAUCAUGCAAGUGUACUUUCCAUAGUUAUAAAACACAGCAUGAUCAAAAUUAUAGUCCACGUCACAACAGAGUAACAAUCAUGGCAAUUGUGGCAUAACAUUUAAGUCAAGUUCAAAGUGAAAACACAAAAUCUAACAUUUUCACGUCAACACAAAUCAUAAUUCUAAAAAUAAUAUGGAAAAGAAGGGUUAAAAAAAAUUAUGAGUUGAAAUAUAGUAAUAUUUUAACUAUGUCUUAAGAAGAGUACCCAACAAAGAUAGAAUGUAAUUUUUUUGAGCGAAGAUAUUGAUUUUGGCAAGAAAAAUAAAGUUAAUUCUCUGAAAUUACAAGAAAUUUUAAUAUUAUUAGCACAAAAUAAAGAAGAACAAGCAAAUUAUGCAAAAGUAAUUGCACAAGUUUUCAGGCUUUAAAGCUUGACGGUAUAAUGAUCUGUACAUAACAAUCACAUAAAAGGCCCCAUAUUGGCAAAUACUUUUUCAACACACAAAAUCAAAGAGAACUGUCACCUGGCAGGUUCAAAUUCUAAUUCUCAGAAUGUAUCAGGAAUUCUUUCAUAAACAAGUUUCUCAAGUCCCAAACCAAAAUAGUAACAAUUAAAUAAUAGGUUCAAAGCUUGACCUUCCUCUGAUAAUGCCUUCAGUAGUUUGUUGAACAGGACUGAAUCAUAUAAGCAUAAUAUUGAUGCUUUAAAACAUCAAGCACUUAUCCAAUACACAAAAUUAAACCAAUCGAUCAUCUUGUGGAUUCAAUUUCAGUACUCAAAUGGCCUAUUCAUGCUCUUUUGAGAUAAAGUUUCCACUUAAAAUCAAUAAAUGUAAACUAAGUCACCUGUGUGAGCACAGCAUACAUAUAUUAAAAAAUCAAUUAUAAGAAAAAUAUUGCAAAGGAGAAAGAAAAUACAGCGAGUCACACAUGAAAUGCAAUGACUAGUUAAGCAUUUCUCCCGCCCUUAGACAUGUUUUAACAAAUUAAAUACUCAAAACUUAACAGACAUGUUUAUUUACCUCGAUUUCACACACUUCUUCGUAGACUCUCCAUAUAUUUGAAUCCCGGAC